AGUGAACGCUGGCGGUAGGCCUAACACAUGCAAGUCGAACGGCAGCACAGGAGAGCUUGCUCUCUGGGUGGCGAGUGGCGGACGGGUGAGGAAUACAUCGGAAUCUACUUUUUCGUGGGGGAUAACGUAGGGAAACUUACGCUAAUACCGCAUACGACCUACGGGUGAAAGCAGGGGAUCUUCGGACCUUGCGCGAUUGAAUGAGCCGAUGUCGGAUUAGCUAGUUGGCGGGGUAAAGGCCCACCAAGGCGACGAUCCGUAGCUGGUCUGAGAGGAUGAGCAGCACCACUGCAACUGGGAGACGGUCCAGACUGCUACGGGAGGCAGCAGUGGGGAAUAUUGGACAAUGGGCGCAAGCCUGAUCCAGCCAUACCGCGUGGGUGAAGAAGGCCUUCGGGUUGUAAAGCCCUUUUGUUGGGAAAGAAAUCCAGCUGGUUAAUACCCGGUUGGGAUGACGGUACCCAAAGAAUAAGCACCGGCUAACUUCGUGCCAGCCGCCGCGGUAA
Molecule: ribosomal RNA, 506 nt
Filed under: uncultured bacterium
Lineage: Bacteria
Description: partial 16S ribosomal RNA
Rfam family: Bacterial small subunit ribosomal RNA
Source: RNAcentral